RNAcentral lists this ribosomal RNA (451 nucleotides) under uncultured bacterium. RNAcentral describes it as "partial 16S ribosomal RNA". It matches the Rfam family "Bacterial small subunit ribosomal RNA", at positions 29 to 523 of the family's 1533-position model. The record is from RNAcentral.
AGCGAACGCUGGCGGCAGGCCUAACACAUGCAAGUCGAGCGGGCACCGCAAGGUGUCCGCGGCAGACGGGAGAGUAACACGUGGGAACGUGCCCUUUGGUCCGGAAUAACUCGGGGAAACCCGUGCUAAUUACGGAUACGCCCUUACGGGGAAAGAUUUAUCACCGAUGGAGCGGCUCGCGUCUCAUUAGCUAGUUGGUGAGGUAAUGGCUCACCAAAGCGACGAUCAGUAGCUGGUCUGAGAGGAUGAACAGCCUCACAGGGACUAAAACACGGCCCAAAAUCCGACGCGAGGAAGCAGUGGGGAAUAUUGGACAAUGGGCGCAAGCCUGUUCCAACCAUGCCGCGUGGAUGAUGAAGUCCUUAGGGUUGUAAAGUCCUUUUAACGGUGAAUAUAAUGGCGGUACCCGUAGAAUUAGCCCCGGCUAACCGCGUUCCAGCCGCCGCCGUAU